GACGAACGCUGGCGGCGUGCUUAACACAUGCAAGUCGAACGAUGAAGAAGAGAAACGCGAACUUCGGUUCAAAUUUCACUUCGGAUUAGUGGCAGACGGGUGAGUAACGCGUGAGCAACCUACCUCUUACAAAGGGAUAGCCUCGGGAAACCGUGAUUAAUACCAUAUGACACAUUCAUAAGGCAUCUUAAGAAUGUUAAAGCUACGGCGGUAAGAGAUGGGCUCGCGUCCCAUUAGCUAGUUGGUGAGGUAACGGCCCGCCAAGGCGACGAUGGGUAACCGGCCUGAGAGGGUGAACGGUCACAUUGGAACUGAGACACGGUCCAAACUCCUACGGGAGGCAGCAGUGGGGAAUAUUGCACAAUGGAGGGAACUCUGAUGCAGCGACGCCGCGUGAGCGAUGAAGGAAUUCGUUUCGUAAAGCUCUGUUCUAUGGGAAGAAAAGGACUGUACCAUAGGAGAAAGCCCCGGCUAAAUACGUG
RNAcentral lists this ribosomal RNA (482 nucleotides) under uncultured bacterium. Its description in RNAcentral is "partial 16S ribosomal RNA". It matches the Rfam family "Bacterial small subunit ribosomal RNA", at positions 28 to 507 of the family's 1533-position model. The record is from RNAcentral.